CUUAUUUGUGGCUGCCUUAGGCCACCACAAAUAACCCCUUUGUGACUGCUAUUUGCCCUUUGUGAAGGUUUUUGGCCCUCACAAAUUCCUUGUUUUCUUAUUGUGAUUUAACUUGAGAUUUGGCCUGCGGAGAAUGAUUUGUCUUUAAAAGGGAAUAACCAUAAUGUUGUUCUGAUCCAUCUCCAUUUCAAGUAAGACAUGAUGCUCUUGAUUUUUUUCAUGGCACACCCCUCCUAAGUGAGAUGCACCCUUCUCCCUCUCAUUCCCCAUCAGAGGUCUCUGCACACUUGAUCAAGAUCAGGAUCAUAUCAGGAUCAUGAUGGCUCUCACAUCAAAGGGAUUAUUAUAAAUUUGUUUCAUAAUUAUGGUCGGAUCCUAAAGGUUCCAUUUUCAUAGUUGGAUUUAUUAUGCCUAUUAUAAAGAACUCUUUGAUUUUUGGAUGAAGUCUUGUAAGAAGAGAGAGAUGAGUUAUGUUGAAACAAGAAAGUGUGUGUGUGAUUAAAGUGCAUAAUGGGCUGAAAUCCAUCAACAACACAAAGAUGACGUGGAUGAAAGAUCUACAACAGCUAAAAAGAAAACUGGAUGAUUUUUUUUUUAACUAGCAUGGGUGAAUUAUGUGAGAGAACAAUUAAUUAUGUCCCUUUUGAUGCUUAGCUAGAAAAAAUAAAAUGUGAACAUAAUUUUGUGAAUA
Molecule: long non-coding RNA, 691 nt
Organism: Cicer arietinum (chickpea)
Lineage: Eukaryota; Viridiplantae; Streptophyta; Magnoliopsida; Fabales; Fabaceae
Source: RefSeq, a predicted model, not a curated record